CAUUUCAAAGGCUUUCACAAUUUUUUCCCACACAGAUAAUGUAAAAUCAAACACAAUUAUCCCCAUGACUGUCUGAAGUUCUUAGUACUUCUGGUGCUUGAUCAGAUUUGAUUUCAUUGCAAAAAGAGCAAUGGUUUACAUCUAUUUUUUGGAGAAGAUUCAUCUCUUACUUGCAGAAGUGUCACCAGGCAAAGCCCAUGAACAAUUCCCAGGGAAAGUAAAACAGAGGUUGGGUAAUAAAGUCUCACCUUUUUUUUUUUUUUUUUCCUUUUUCUUGGUGCUUAGUCCAGUUUCACUUGCUCAUAGGCGUGCAGAGGCCUUCCAUCCGGCGCUGCAGGCCUGCGUUCCUACUGAGAAAUGGCUGUUCUGAUGCCCACCCGGCCGCGUGCGGAGAUGCUGCCAUCGACACCCUGAUUCAAGAUGGCGAGGUGGGCCCCGCGCAGAGAUGCGGAGGCCUCGGUGCCAUCUAGCGCAGGCGCAGCUCAGCUGUGCCCGCCCUCCUGCGAGCACGCCCCUCCCCUCCCUGCUGACCAGAUCCCUAUAAAGCUGCUCCACCCACGGCCCGUGGGGAGAGCCUGCUCUGGAGGGCGGGAGCCCUCACCUCUCCAUGCUUUGGUCCAAGAAAAAAUCUUUCCUUGGCUUCUGAACCAACUCUGUCUCAUUCUGUUGGCUCCAAGGACACUGGGCAGAAGAACCCUUGUUGGGGACUGACGUGGGAGGGUCAGUCACGGAUGCAGAAGAUUCAAAUGGCCAGUGAGAACGCACAUUCCCUCUUGGAGUGAUGAGGUCAUGCUAGAUGGGAGGGGAAUUAGCAGAUACAGGGGAGCAUCAGAUCCUGGAGUUGGAAGUGUGGGGGCAGACAACAGACUGAAUCUUCGGUGGGAAUGGCCUCUGGGGUUGUCAAAGGAAACAUCGAGAAGACUUUCAAAGAUUUUCAGUAUUCCUGGAACUUUGUAAAUUCUUCUAAAUCCUGGAAAAUCUUUUUUUUUUUCUUUUAUCAGGUCACCAAAUUAAUUCAUGUCCUCCAGAUGAGCCCCUCCUUUUCUGAAUUUUUCUCUUUUGGCUGCCAAGAGUUGCAUAUAUUUUGCAUGAACUGCCUCCAUGUAUUCUAAUUUUUUCAUCCUGGAGUUCAAAUUGCAUUCCCACCACCCAUAACAACAGUAAAGACAUUGUUCGGACGGAGAGCUCUCGUGUUCUGAUCAAAACGAUUUUUCUCAAGCAACCGAUCUGCUUCAGGAAUAGACAAUUGUGUGGCAGCAAUGAAGAGGAAUCAAAGCCCAUCAAAGGUUAGGAUGGAUUCCUGAGCCAGAACAGCCUGGGUGUGAAGUCUCGCUCUGGCUUUUACAGCGGUGUGACCUGGACAGGUCCUGCAGUUUUGAGUUGCCUUAAUGGAAGCAUGGUAUCAGCUGAGCAUGGCAUCAACUCAAGUUAGGGUGUCGUCCCAGUGUACUCUGUGAUUCCUGGAAGGCUACAAUCUACAAUCGGAAUCCCAGUUCAAAAGCAAUAUAUGAAAAUGAGUUUGAGUUUAGAGGUGACUGGCCAAGAUCAUGAAGGACUUGGCACUAUAUAUGUGAGAUGUGAUUAAAGAAAAGGAAAAUUUAGCCUGGAGAAAAAACUUUAAAGAUAAAGUAUUGCUAAGCUGUCAUCUGGGAAAGAAAUUUGAUUUAUAAGGUACCAACAGGUAAACUGUCUUUAAUGGGAAGAAUUAAGAGAGAGGUUUUUUUUUUCCCUCAGUCUUAAGAAAGAAUUUUUAUGGGUAAAAACUAUCCAAAGAUGGGACAAAACAAUAAGGGUUUUCUUCAUUGUAAAAAGAAUGUGUGUCCUUAAAAAAAAAAAUCAGAGAACAAAAAAUGUUGAAAUAUAAACAUUGUUAUUGUUUGGAAAUCUCACCAUCUGUUUAAACUCAAGUAUGCUAAUGCAUUGUUUGAAAAAAGUUUUGAGUUUAAUAGUUCAACUGAAUCUGGCAGAUGUUCAUGCAGCAGUUGGUCCACAGCUAAGCAGUGAAGUUACAGACAGCAUGGCACUUAUAUUAAAUAACAUUUUAGGCCCCUUUCAAAUCCGAGAGUCUAUUAUCUUGUAAAUGCCAGAAGCAUUGAUUCUAUUGAGAUCAUACCUCAGGCUGGCCUUCGCUCCAGACUCCUGUAAAUAUGUGAGUUAGCUCAAUCCUUGGACCCUAACAGCUCCAUCCACAGCUGGUUAACUAGAAUGGAGAGCUGAUGCAGUUGCCAAGCAACUCCGAUUUGGGUAAAUAUGUCUCCUUUUUUCUGGUCUACCAGAUAGCUGGAUAAACAAACAUUCUUUUGAAUAUAACUCAAUCUUAUCCUAUGAGGACACAUAAAAUUAAAGAACUAAAGCAGAUAUUUAGGUAAUUUAGGGCAAAAAUGUCUAUGAAUAAUCUAAAAAUGUAAAAGCCCAAAUGGCUUGACCCAAGGGCAUAAUGUCCUCCAACCCUACAUUUUAAUGUGUGAGGAGGACAAUGUCUCAGCAACACUGCAUUUCUCCUUGAGUAGGCAGUUUAUGCAGUAGCCAGAGACAGAAAAAGAAGACAAUAGAACCAGGGGUAAGUGUGCAACUGCAUUUCUUCUACAAAUUGGAGUUGAUUUGUGAGUUGGGAUGUCUUUUUUUAGAAUCUUGGACCAAGUCGGUAGCUGCUAGCAAGACAAUGAGGUCAGUUUCUGGCAGCUACGAAAUGGUUGUUUCCCAUACUAGACUCUGAGCUCUUCGAGGGCAUUUAUUUUUGUAUUUCACAAUGUCCAGAAAGCAUAAAGUACUAAAUAUUAACUUAUUGUGAUUACAGAUCAAAGUUGUCCUUGACAUAAUGUAUACUCACUUAUGUUCCCCAAUUUAUGGGCACAAAAUAUGCAUACUAUACUAAAUAUACAUAAUAUACAUACGAUCAAGAUACUGAAAUGAUGCAAAUGAAUUCUCUGAACAUAUGUAUUACUAUUGUGACACCUUAAAGCUUAAGCCAACAAAAGCAUUUUUUUGCCUGUAACAGUGCUAAAAUAUUGGUAUUUAUUUAUUAAAGCGUUUUCCACAAUUCGUUGCCAUGCUUGUGUUAGAAGAUGGCCAAGUUUCGAAUUAUUAGGUGUUGGUAUUUCAAUAUUUUUCUUUUUCUGACUCUUAAAAAUGACAUGUAUUCUUUUUUACAAUGAAGAAAACCACCAUUUGUUUUAGAAUUAUUAAAAAACCUAGGAAGAUUCCAACUAUUCUCAGCAUAGAGAAUGACAUUUGCCUAAAUCAUGCUACACUAGCCCCCAGUGGUACCCAUAUGGCAGGGGUGAGAUAUGAACAGGGAGUGGAAAUCCUGAACAUUGGGGCUUGAAGGCUCUGUAUUCAAACGUCUGCUCUAGAGUUGGCCUGGGUUGAAGGGCUGGCAGCCACUCUUCAAUCAUGGUGGCUGCUGCAACUUUCUUCCCAUCUCUCCAUGCCACACAUCCUACGGAGCUCUCCCCUCCUCUAACCCACAGUCACUCUUGUAAAUUUCUAAGGGUUCUGCUUUGCUAGCAGCUUUGGGAGUCACCAGAUCCAAGAGGCACAAAAGGGAGGGUAUUGAGGCAAGUUUUCUGGCAGCCUUGAAGGGCAAACUGAUGGAGGAAAAAACUAGGCAGAUAAAUAUACAAAGAAAACAAGUUUCUCUGAAGGCCACCUGAUGUAGAGAAAGGUCUCCCCUUAAUGCACACAUUAGAGGUUCUCUGUUAUUGUCACAAGACUAAGGGUUAAGCAUUGUCAUCACCCUUAUUUAUUGAUAAAGACACUGAGAUGCCGAGAGGUAAAAGACUCAGCCAAGAUUUGUUUUCUCAUUCUGCUGGACACAAAGCCAUUACAUGACCUUUUGAGAAAGACCAUUUCGAGAAGACAGAAUCAGUAAGAGCAGAGACUUCAGUUAAUUUAAAUCCCCACCAACGCUACUGUUCUCUCUCUUACAUAGGCAGAGAGGACUUUACUUCCUGCAGGGCUUUCCCACUUUUUUUUCCCACUCCUCUGAAAGGUUCUAAAAAUUAUGAGUUCUUUAAGCUCAUGUCUCCAUCUCUUUAGUAUCUCUAGCACCUGGUAUAAUGCCUGACACUCGGCCCAGAGGUGGGGAAUGAGGCUGAUGGGGAGAGGGCCAUUGGCAUAUUUUCUCCAUGAAUGGGUGUGAAAGCGUUUCAAGCUUAUGAAGACCUGGGAUUUCAUCUUACUUCUGCCACUAGUUAACAGUUCUGGGAAAGUGACUGAGCUAAUCUGUGCUGAUUUUCUAUGACUAUCAUAAGUAGGUUGAGUUGUGUGUUCUUAGCAGUGCCUUCUGCCCUAACCUUCUGUAUCUACAGCCAGGCUUACGAUUCUAGAGAGAACAGAAACAUUCUGCUGGAAUACUUAGUUCAUCUCAUCAGCCAGCUCUUAUGUAGCUCAAAUUCAAGAUGCAUAAUUUGCCACAUUAGGGGAACCUCCUGUGCACACAAGAAAUUAAGAAACGUAAACAGUAAACAAGCCUGGGCAUCGCUGACAAAUAAUCAAGGGAACUCUGGAAUCGACAUUUGGAUAAUAGUAGCUAUUUACUGUAAUUUGGGGGAAAGCAGCCUGGAGACCUGCUAAGGAUAUAAUAUGACUCUGUUACGUGUAGUAAGUAGCUUUCCCUGAGGAAAAAGAUUAUCUAGUUGAAAGGAUUCUGCUUACUUAUGGAGGUGUGAAAACACUAACUUUUAGAAUCUAAGGACUCUUGUCUCCUGUUAGGAAGAUGU
Non-coding RNA from Sus scrofa (pig), 4721 nucleotides. Lineage: Eukaryota; Metazoa; Chordata; Mammalia; Artiodactyla; Suidae. The record is from RefSeq and is a predicted model, not a curated record.